GUUUCCUCCAAUUUGUGAGAGCUCCCCAGUCUUUCCUUGCUUUGCAUGACACUGAAUACCAUACUUGUUGGCUCUCUGUUAAUGCAUUUAUUAAUCCAUCUGGUUGACCCAUCAGCUCAUGGUGUCAGACUCUAUGCCAGGCACUGGGGGCUCAGAAAUGAAUCAGGAGAGGCGCCUGACCUCAAGGAGCUCACAGACAAGGAGACUGUCAGAGCCAGAGCAUGAGAUCAGAGCGAUAACAGCAUGGCAGGGCAAGGCCCAGCAUCUCCAGGAAUGACACCGUCAUCAGCAGGGCCCAACGUGCAAAGCGGAUGGAGGUGUGCAAGGAAAGGCUGAGUGCCUCUGCCUUUUGUCUUUCUGAAAAGCCCUUAGCAAACUUUUCCUUACAUCUCCUUGGCCAGAAUCUUAUGUCCAGUCCUAGAUCAAUCACCGAAAAGAAGAAAUGGAAGAGCUGAAACUGGCUUAGAACGACCCGGACUCACUUUUGGAAGCAGAGCACCAUCGGGAUACUGUUUUCUGAGGAAGAGGCCAGAAUGGCUGUUGGAUGGGUGCCUGCCGCAGGCCCUUCAGUUGCUCUGGAAGUUUUUCACUGGGGAAAUAAUACUGCCUCAAACAGUCUUUUGCAUAAAGAUUUCCCCACAUUUAAAAUGGUCUCCUGGAUUUCCCUGGUGGUCCCGUGGUUAAGAGUCUGUCUGCUAAUGAAGGGGACACAGGUCUUGACUCCCAGGCAGGGAAGACACCACAUGCUUCAGAGCAGCGGCACCCAUGCGCCUCAUCUGCUAAAGCCCGCCCGCCCUAGGCCCGAGCUCUGCAGCAGGAGAAGCCGCUGCAACGGGGAGCGCUGCUCAGAGCAACCAGGCGAAGCCUGCACAGCCACGAAGACGCCGCGCGGCAGAGGAUCACCUUCGAGAGAAGAUUUCUGUUUUUGUGAACCUGGAAGAUCCUCAGUGAAGGGAAGGGAAGGAGGACUAAACAGAAACAAGGUGGGAAACAUGAACAAACACGAAGCCCCGCCAGGAGGCCUGCGGCUCUUGCCACGUCACUGGCUGUGCUUCAGCACCCUGUUCAGCGGAACUGGGGCUUCCCUGGGGGCUCAGCUGAUAAAGAGCCCACCUGCCAAUGCAGGAGACACAAGAGACGUGGGUUCAGUCCCUGGGUCAGGAAGAUCCCCUGGAGGGGGA
Molecule: long non-coding RNA, 1181 nt
Filed under: Capra hircus (goat)
Lineage: Eukaryota; Metazoa; Chordata; Mammalia; Artiodactyla; Bovidae
Description: lncRNA (ENSCHIG00000003616.1)
Source: RNAcentral